This 755-nucleotide ribosomal RNA is filed under the name marine metagenome. RNAcentral describes it as "bacterial SSU rRNA". It matches the Rfam family "Bacterial small subunit ribosomal RNA", at positions 755 to 1520 of the family's 1533-position model. The record is from RNAcentral.
GAAAGCGUGGGGAGCGAACCGGAUUAGAUACCCGGGUAGUCCACGCUGUAAACGAUGAGUACUAGGUGUUGGGGGUAUCGACCCCCUCUGUGCCGAAGCUAACGCGAUAAGUACUCCGCCUGAGGACUACGGCCGCAAGGCUAAAACUCAAAGGAAUUGACGGGGGCCCGCACAAGCAGCGGAGCGUGUGGUUUAAUUCGAUGGUACGCGAAGAACCUUACCUGGGUUUGAAAUGCAUGUGGUACUGAUGUGAAAGCUGAGGGACCCCUCGGGGAGCAUGCACAGGUGUUGCACGGCCGUCGUCAGCUCGUGCCGUGAGGUGUUGGGUUAAGUCUCGCAACGAGCGCAACCCCUGUCGUCAGUUGUACUUUUCUGACGAGACUGCCGGGAAACCCCCGGAGGAAGGAGGGGAUGAUGUCAGGUCAGCGUGGCCCUUACGUCCAGGGCUACACACACGCUACAAUGGGUGGUCCAACGGGUCGCGAAGCCGCGAGGUGGAGCUAAUCCCAUCAAAGCCAUCCUCAGUUCGGAUUGCAGGCUGAAACUCGCCUGCAUGAAGCCGGAGUUGCUAGUAACCGCAGGUCAGCACUACUGCGGUGAAUACGUUCCCGGGCCUUGUACACACCGCCCGUCACGUCAUGAAAGUUGGCAACACCUGAAGCCGCUCGGCUAACCGCAAGGAAGCAAGCGUCGAGGGUGGGGCCAGCGAUUGGGACGAAGUCGUAACAAGGUAGCCGUAGCGGAAGCUGCGGCUG